GAUGAAGAACGCAGCGAAACGCGAUAAGUAAUGUGAAUUGCAGAAUCCAGUGAAUCAUCGAAUCUUUGAACGCACAUUGCGCCCGCCAGCAUUCUGGCGGGCAUGCCUGUUCGAGCGUCAUUUCAACCCUCGACCUCCCCUUGGGGAGGUCGGCGUUGGGGACCGGCAGCACACCGCCGUCCCUGAAAUGGAGUGGCGGCCCGUCCGCGGCGACCUCUGCGCAGUAAUACAGCUCGCACCGGGACCCCGACGCGGCCACGCCGUAAAACACCCAACUUCUGAACGUUGACCUCGAAUCAGGUAGGACUACCCGCUGAACUUAAGCAUAUCAAUAAGCGGAGGA
RNAcentral lists this unclassified non-coding RNA (343 nucleotides) under soil metagenome. RNAcentral describes it as "partial contains 5.8S ribosomal RNA, internal transcribed spacer 2, and large subunit ribosomal RNA". The stretch from base 1 to 120 matches the Rfam family "5.8S ribosomal RNA", at positions 35 to 154 of the family's 154-position model. The record is from RNAcentral.